UUCCAGUAGACUAACUUUGUUUCGACUUACCUCCUCUUUGGAAGAGGGUGACGGGCGAUAUGUGCACCUAAAUUCAAAUUCGUUCUUAAUUUUUAUUAAAAAACUACUUCCAAAUCCUCUUUUAUUUUUUCUUUAGAUAAAGUUCCUUUAAUAAUAUUAAUUGGUAAUUAGUUCCUUCUUAGAUAUAAUCUUCACCUUGACCUGACUUAUUAAAAAUGAUCAAAGCAAAAUAUUGAAAUCAUGCCUUUAGACGGCGGUAUAAAAGAGAGAAUCUAAGAAAAAAUAAGCGGGAAAAAUCGAUAAGAACAAAUUCCUCUGGUAAGAGAAAAGGCCGCCAAAAA
Molecule: ribosomal RNA, 341 nt
Filed under: Aptostichus atomarius
Lineage: Eukaryota; Metazoa; Arthropoda; Arachnida; Araneae; Euctenizidae
Description: partial 12S ribosomal RNA
Source: RNAcentral